CAUGCAAGUCGAACGAAAAGCCGGAAAGAGCUUGCUCUUUCCGGAAUUGAGUGGCAAACGGGUGAGUAACACGUAAACAACCUGCCUUCAGGAUGGGGACAGCAGACGGAAACGACUGCUAAUACCGAAUAAGUUCCAAGAGCCGCAUGGCCCAUGGAAGAAAAGGUGGCCUCUACCUGUAAGCUAUCGCCUGAAGAGGGGUUUGCGUCUGAUUAGCUGGUUGGAGGGGUAACGGCCCACCAAGGCGACGAUCAGUAGCCGGUCUGAGAGGAUGAACGGCCACACUGGAACUGAGACACGGUCCAGACUCCUACGGGAGGCAGCAGUGGGGAAUCUUCCGCAAUGGGCGAAAGCCUGACGGAGCAACGCCGCGUGAGUGAUGACGGCCUUCGGGUUGUAAAACUCUGUGAUCCGGGACGAAAAGGCAGAGUGCGAAGAACAAACUGCAUUGACGGUACCGGAAAAGCAAGCCACGGCUAACUACGUGCCAGCAGCCGCGGUAAUACGUAGGUGGCAAGCGUUGUCCGGAAUUAUUGGGCGUAAAGCGCGCGCAGGCGGCUUCCCAAGUCCCUCUUAAAAGUGCGGGGCUUAACCCCGUGAUGGGAAGGAAACUGGGAAGCUGGAGUAUCGGAGAGGAAAGUGGAAUUCCUAGUGUAGCGGUGAAAUGCGUAGAGAUUAGGAAGAACACCGGUGGCGAAGGCGACUUUCUGGACGAAAACUGACGCUGAGGCGCGAAAGCGUGGGGAGCAAACAGGAUUAGAUACCCUGGUAGUCCACGCCGUAAACGAUGGAUACUAGGUGUAGGAGGUAUCGACCCCUCCUGUGCCGGAGUUAACGCAAUAAGUAUCCCGCCUGGGAAGUACGAUCGCAAGAUUAAAACUCAA
RNAcentral lists this ribosomal RNA (884 nucleotides) under uncultured bacterium. RNAcentral's name for it is "bacterial SSU rRNA". It matches the Rfam family "Bacterial small subunit ribosomal RNA", at positions 54 to 904 of the family's 1533-position model. The record is from RNAcentral.